AGUCAUGGGCUGUAAUCUCUAGCAAUGAUUUACCAUACAUUUUAUCUUGGUAGCGUCUGUGCAAAAGGAGGAGAUUUUCUGAAAAAGAAUAAGUGGUUGUUCAACUAACAGCAGCGAUUUUAACAGGCUUAAAGCUGGUCCAUGGAUGGUUAUGUAUGAGGAUUUGCCAAUUCGACUGCAAGUGCUGCUGCAAGAAAUUAAACAUGCAGUGACCUUACAAAUUACAAUUAGAAGUCUGAAGAAAAUUUUUAUUGCACAUAUGGGUGUAAAGCACAGACCUGAGAUAUAAACUGAAUUGUGAGAAAUAUGAAUCAGGAAUGCAGGUAGAAAAUGGCAAAUGUGAUCCAGAUUGAUAAAAAAUGUCUAUAAAAUUGCUUCUUUUUUUUUUUUUUUUUUUUUUUUUUUUUUU
This is a long non-coding RNA of Saccostrea cuccullata (small rock oyster), 409 nucleotides long. RefSeq lists it as uncharacterized. The transcript has 2 exons. Lineage: Eukaryota; Metazoa; Mollusca; Bivalvia; Ostreida; Ostreidae. The record is from RefSeq and is a predicted model, not a curated record.